Molecule: long non-coding RNA, 626 nt
Organism: Bos taurus (domestic cattle)
Lineage: Eukaryota; Metazoa; Chordata; Mammalia; Artiodactyla; Bovidae
Source: Ensembl
GAGCUAGUUUGGGAGUUAAAGAGAGGUUUGAAGAUGGCAGAAGGAGCCUCAAGGAGUAAAGGUACCUCUCUGCAGAAGUUGGAAAAGGUGAAGAAACAAUUCCUGAAGCCCCCAGAAGGUUGACAGCCCUACCCACAUGUUGAUUGUAUCCCAGUGAUAUUUUGGACUUCCAACUUCCAAAACGGUACUUUAUAUUUGGAGAAGGCAUGGAGAAUCCCAGGGACAGAGGAGCCUAAUGGGCUGCCGUCUAUGGGGUCGUACAGAGUCGGACACGACUGAAGCGAUUUAGCCCCAGUAGCAGCAGGUCUCCGUGUUCUCAACUGUGAAGCAGAGGGAGUGGUUCUCUAAGCCACUUCCUGCGCUGCCCGCUCCACCCCAUGGCUGCCUGUGCGUAUCUGAAGCCACUGUGCUUGUUUCUGCAUCUCAUGCUGAUGUUUUAAUGUGUCCAUGGGCUCCCACAGAGGGACACCAGGCCUGCUUCCUCCAUCCCCUUGAGCUGUUGCUACUCGCCUGGAUUCCCAGCUCAGCAGAGACCAGUCAAACUGCAUUCUGGGGAAGUUAGGAAGGAGUCCACCCUGGAAGGUGGCACGGCCCCCUGGUGGCUGUGAAGGAGGCAACCACAGGUG